CAGCUUAGGUGGGAGGCUAUGAACCUUUUCUUCUGGGAAGAGGGGAGCCAUCAGUGAGAUACCACUCUUGGUAAGCUAGAGCGCUCAGUCUUCACCGUCAUCCGGUAAGACGACAGUUUCAGGCGGGCAGUUUGACUGGGGCAGUCACCUCCCAAAAGGUAAUGGAGGUGUGCAAAGGUUCCCUCAGGCUGGACGGAAAUCAGCCAUAGAGUGUAAAAGCAUAAGGGAGCUUGACUGCGAGUCUGACAUGUCAAGCAGAGACGAAAGUCGGCUUUAGUGAUCCGACGGUGCUGUGUGGAAAGGCCGUCGCUCAACGGAUAAAAGUUACUCUAGGGAUAAC
This 340-nucleotide ribosomal RNA is filed under the name uncultured eukaryote. Its description in RNAcentral is "LSU rRNA". It matches the Rfam family "Bacterial large subunit ribosomal RNA", at positions 2139 to 2478 of the family's 2925-position model. The record is from RNAcentral.